RNAcentral lists this RNase P RNA (399 nucleotides) under Thermohalobaculum xanthum. RNAcentral describes it as "Bacterial RNase P class A". It matches the Rfam family "Bacterial RNase P class A". From Rfam's summary of the family: Ribonuclease P (RNase P) is a ubiquitous endoribonuclease, found in archaea, bacteria and eukarya as well as chloroplasts and mitochondria. Its best characterised activity is the generation of mature 5'-ends of tRNAs by cleaving the 5'-leader elements of precursor-tRNAs. The record is from Rfam by way of RNAcentral. Lineage: Bacteria; Pseudomonadati; Pseudomonadota; Alphaproteobacteria; Rhodobacterales; Paracoccaceae.
GCGGGCGAUCGGAUGGCCGCGCUGCCGCGCAAGCGGCGGUGAGGAAAGUCCGGGCUCCACGGAGGCACGGUGCCGGGUAACACCCGGCGGGGGAGGGCUUCGGUCCGGAACCUCAGGGAAAGCGCCACAGAGAUCAGACCGCCGGGGCUUUGGUCCCGGCAAGGGUGAAACGGCGAGGUAAGAGCUCACCGCGCCCCCGGCAACGGGGGCGGCACGGCAAGCCCCACCGGGAGCAAGAUCAGAUAGGGACGACAGGGGCCAUCGCGCUCCGGGGCCGCCUCCGGUCCGUCGUCCGGGUAGAUCGCGCGAGGCCGCGGGCGACCGCGGUCCCAGAUGAAUGGCCAUCGCCGCAUGCUUCGGCGCGCGGCACAGAACCCGGCUUACAGAUCGCCCGCACCC